This 460-nucleotide ribosomal RNA is filed under the name uncultured bacterium. Its description in RNAcentral is "SSU rRNA". It matches the Rfam family "Bacterial small subunit ribosomal RNA", at positions 26 to 518 of the family's 1533-position model. The record is from RNAcentral.
AGAAUCAACGCUGGCGGCGUGCCUAACACAUGCAAGUCGCACGAGAAAGGGGAGCAAUCCCUGAGUAAAGUGGCGCACGGGUGAGUAACACGUGAAUAAUCUACCUCCGAGUGGGGAAUAACUGAGAGAAAUCUUAGCUAAUACCGCAUAACACUUACGAGUCAAAGCAGCAAUGCGCUUGGAGAGGAGUUCGCGGCCGAUUAGUUAGUUGGCGGGGUAAUGGCCCACCAAGACGAUGAUCGGUAUCCGGCCUGAGAGGGCGCACGGACACACUGGAACUGAAACACGGUCCAGACUCCUACGGGAGGCAGCAGUGGGGAAUUUUGCGCAAUGGGGGAAACCCUGACGCAGCAACGCCGCGUGGAGGAGUGAAGCCCCUUGGGGUGUAAACUCCUUUCGAUCGGGAAGAUAAUGACGGUACCGAUAUAAGAAGCCCGGCUAACUUCGUGCCAGCAGCCGC